GAUCCCGUAGCUCAGCCGGAUAGAGUGCAAGAUUCCUAAUCUUGAGGUCGCGGGUUCGAAUCCCGCCGGGAUCGCCA
This 77-nucleotide transfer RNA is filed under the name Alphaproteobacteria bacterium MarineAlpha4_Bin1. RNAcentral's name for it is "tRNA-Arg". It matches the Rfam family "tRNA". From Rfam's summary of the family: Transfer RNA (tRNA) molecules are approximately 80 nucleotides in length. The record is from RNAcentral. Lineage: Bacteria; Pseudomonadati; Pseudomonadota; Alphaproteobacteria. RNAcentral also lists the same sequence under 1 other name.